Molecule: unclassified non-coding RNA, 284 nt
Filed under: Hevea brasiliensis (rubber tree)
Lineage: Eukaryota; Viridiplantae; Streptophyta; Magnoliopsida; Malpighiales; Euphorbiaceae
Source: RNAcentral
GGUCUUUCCAGCUUCACUGGAGCUUAUAAGGUUCAGCAGAAAGCACUCCCAUUGUUCGACAGCAUAUGCCUCUAACUCCUCCAAGCUAGGAAGCCUCACAGUGAUAUUAGAAGGCAUUGGUUCCCUUGGUAAGACUCCACCAUAGACUAUAUGCUUCUGAAGAUUAAAUUGAAAUUUUGGGUUUAGUUGAUACAUGGCUUCCUUUUUCCUGUCAAAUGUUUCUGUCAUUACUCUCAGCUGUAUCAAUCUAUCAAUGGCAACUUUAUGCUUUGAGAAUCCAUCUG